CCAAGCCCUUCUAUUGUUGGGCAAAAAAAAAAUGAAAUUACAGAAAUUCCCCAAACCCGAUCGACCAAACACAAAAAAUUCGAAAUCACUAGAGCAAUUUCCCGCUUCUUUCUCUAUUCUCUACUAGCGAAGCUUUUCGCUUUUUCAAAUUUUCAUCGUCGAAUCCCUCCAAAUUCUCCUCCCAUCAUCUUCUACCCGGGUUCAGCGCACAGUGUGCUAGGGUUUCAAACUCGGAAACCUAAUUGUGCUCUCCGCUUUCUCGACGUAUCCUACAAUUCCUCACUUCGCUGCAUCUGUCUGUUCUGAACUUCUUACACUGUGAUUUCAUCGUUUCAAUUUCUUUAUCUAAGCCUUCAAACUCAGGUUAUUGAAUUCUCUGCAUUUUUUUUGACUCUUUGAGCAUUGCUCGACUAUUCUAGGGUUUCAGUUCGUCAGAUCUGCGAGUUGAUGGUAUUUUGUCGCUAUAUAGGGUUUUGGCUUCGUAUUUACUUUCCUUAGUUUGGUUUGUCUCUAGAUUGUUUGGAAACGAUGUAUGUAAAGGAGAUAUGCUUGGAAGGGUUCAAAUCAUAUGCCACAAGGACGGUGGUUCAAGGUUUUGACCCCUAUUUCAAUGCGAUCACGGGGCUGAACGGCUCAGGAAAAUCUAAUAUUCUAGAUUCGAUUUGCUUCGUUUUGGGUAUAACAAAUUUGCAGCAAGUUCGUGCUUCAAAUCUCCAAGAGCUCGUGUACAAGCAAGGGCAAGCAGGGAUUACUAAGGCAACAGUGUCAAUUGUAUUUGAUAACUCAAAUAAGAGCCGGAGUCCCCUUGGGUAUGAGGGUCAUCCAGAGAUCACGGUAACAAGGCAGAUCGUAGUUGGAGGAAGAAACAAAUAUCUGAUCAAUGGAAAGCUAGCCCAACCCAGUCAAGUCCAGAACCUUUUUCAUUCAGUACAGCUUAAUGUUAAUAAUCCACAUUUUCUAAUCAUGCAAGGCCGGAUCACCAAGGUUUUAAACAUGAAACCUCCUGAAAUCCUCUCUAUGCUUGAAGAGGCUGCGGGGACAAGAAUGUAUGAGACAAAGAAGGAAGCUGCUCUGAAAACACUUGAGAAGAAGCAGAGUAAGGUUGAUGAGAUCAAUAAGCUUCUGGACCAGGAAAUACUUCCUGCUUUGGAGAAAUUGAGGAAAGAACGGAUGCAGUACAUGCAAUGGGCCAAUGGUGCUGCUGAAUUAGAUAGACUUAAAAGAUUUUGCAUUGCUUAUGAGUAUAUUCAAGCUGAGAAAAUCAAAGACAGUGCAGUCGGUGAAGUCGAAAAAGUAAAAGCAAAGAUAACUGAAAUUGAUGGCAACACAGAAAUGAUUUUGGGCAAAAUUCAGGAAAUGGAGAUGCAAGUAUCUCAAUUAGCUGCUGAAAAGGAAGCCAGUAUGGGUGGUGAAGUUAAAAUUUUUUCAGAGAAAGUAGACAUGCUUUCUCAAGAGUUAGUGCGGGAAGCAUCUAUACUGAGAAGUAAGGAAGACACUCUCAAAAGCGAAGAAGAUAAUGCUCAAAAGGUUGUUUGUAAUCUUGAAGAAUUAAAGCAGUCAGUAGAAGAGAGGGCUUCUGCUGUCAGAAAGUCUGAAGAAGGAGCAGCUGAUUUAAAGAAGAAUUUUGAGGAGCUUUCUAAGAGUUUAGAAGACUAUGAAAAGGACUACCAGGGUGUGCUAGCUGGCAAGAGCAGUGGAAAUGAGGAAAAAUGCCUUGAAGACCAACUAGGUGAUUCUAAGGUUGCUGUUGGGAGUGUUGAAACUGAAUUGAAACAGUUGAAGACAAAAAUUAGUCACUGUGAGAAAGAGCUGAAGGAAAAAACACAGCAGUUGAUGAAUAAGCGAGAAGAAGCUGUUUCUGUAGAAAAUGAACUAAAUGCUAGAAGAAAAGAUGUUGAAACUGUUAAAAAGGUUAUGGAAUCACUUCCUUAUAAAGAAGGCCAGAUGGAAGAUUUACAGAAGGAUCGUGCAUCUGAAUUGGAGCUUGUGCAAAAGUUGAAAGAUGAAAUAAGAGAUCUAUCAGCACAAUUAGCUAAUGUUCAGUUCACAUACCGGGAUCCUGUGAAAAAUUUUGACAGGUCAAAAGUGAAAGGCGUUGUUGCACAACUUAUCAAAGUAAAGGAUAGCUCCACAAUGACUGCCUUAGAGGUCACUGCUGGGGGAAAGUUAUUUAAUGUUGUAGUUGACACUGAAAACACUGGAAAACAGCUGCUUCAAAAUGGUGAUCUUCGAAGAAGAGUAACAAUUAUACCUUUGAACAAAAUUCAAUCCCAUACUGCUCCUCCUAGGGUGCAACAGGCUGCUGCUAAAUUGGUUGGCAGGGAAAAUGCGGAAUUGGCGCUUUCUUUGGUCGGUUAUGAUGAAGAAUUGAAGAGAGCUAUGGAAUAUGUAUUCGGUUCAACAUUUGUUUGCAAAACGAUUGAUGCUGCCAAGGAGGUUGCUUUUAAUAGGGAAGUUCGUACACCGAGUGUGACUCUAGAAGGUGAUAUUUUUCAACCAAGUGGUCUUUUGACUGGAGGAAGCCGCAAGGGUGGUGGUGAACUUUUAAGGCAACUUCAUGUUUUGGCAGAAUCUGAAUCAAAGCUUGCUAUUCAUCAAAAGAGGUUAAGUGAAAUUGAAGCAAAGAUUGAGGAGCUUCUUCCUCUUCAGAAAAAGUUCAUGGAUCUUAAAGCAGAUUUAGAGCUUAAAAUGUAUGACCUUUCAUUAUUUCAGAGCAGGGCAGAGCAAAAUGAGCAUCAUAAGCUUGGUGAAAUGGUAAAAUCAAUUGAGAAAGAUCUUGAAGCAGCAAAAUCAGCAGCCAAAGAAAAGCAAGUGUUGUAUGAAAAGUGUGUUAGUAUUGUGUCAUUGCUGGAGAAAUCAAUCAAAGAGCAUGAUAAUAAUCGAGAGGGCCGGCUGAAAGACUUGGAAAAGAAGAUUAAGGUCAUCAAAUCUCAAAUGCAGUCGGCUUCAAAAGAUCUCAAGGGACAUGAAAAUGAAAGAGAGAGGCUUAUCAUGGAAUGCGAAGCUCUCACACGGGAAAAUGCAUCGUUGGAGAGUCAAUUGGCUUCUUUGAGAACACAAAUUGCCAAUCUCACAUCAGAAGUAAAAGAACAGGAAGUGAAGGUUUCGUCAACAAAAGGUAAUCAUGAACAAGCUCAGUCUGAGCUGAAUGCGAUUCGUUUGAAGAUAAAAGAAUGUGAUUCCCAAAUCAGUUGCAUCAUCAAGGAGCAGCAAAAACUGCAACACAGGGUCACGGAGACUAAACUCGAGAGAAAGCGGAUGGAGAAUGAGGUGAAACGAAUGGAGGUUGAGCAGAAAGAUUGCUCUAUGAAGGUAGAAAAAUUGCUCGAGAAGCAUACAUGGAUUGCAUCUCAGAAGCAACUAUUUGGAAGGAGUGGGACAGAUUAUGAUUUUAUCUCCCGCGAUCCUUGUAAAGCAAGGGAAGAACUUGAAAAACUGCAAGCAGAACAAUCAGGUCUUGAGAAAAGGGUGAACAAGAAAGUUAUGGCUAUGUUUGAGAAAGCAGAAGAUGAAUACAAUGAUCUGAUGUCAAAGAAAAAUAUUAUUGAGAAUGACAAGUCCAAGAUAAAGAAGGUAAUUGAUGAGCUAGAUGAGAAAAAGAAGGAAACGCUGAAGGUUACUUGGGUUAAGGUCAACACUGACUUUGGAUCCAUCUUUUCUACCUUGUUGCCAGGCACAAUGGCAAAGCUAGAACCUCCUGAAGGAUGCAGUUUUCUGGAUGGCCUGGAAGUUCGUGUUGCAUUUGGAGGUGUUUGGAAACAGUCCUUGUCAGAACUCAGUGGCGGCCAAAGAUCUCUUCUUGCUCUUUCUUUAAUAUUAGCAUUGCUACUUUUCAAACCAGCUCCACUUUAUAUUCUGGAUGAGGUUGAUGCUGCCCUUGAUUUAAGCCACACACAAAACAUAGGGAAGAUGAUUAAGGCUCACUUUCCACAGUCUCAGACGAGGACGUUCUACAUGUAUGGAAUUUAUCAGUUAGUAAAUCUAGCAACUUAAACAAUGGUGGGCUCAGAUUAUUCCUGACCCAUGGCUCAGCCAGUUUGAUGAGAUAGUGCAAGUUUCAGAAUCUACCGUAGAUUAUGUUUCAUUCAUUUGUGCAGAGGGGAUGUGAGCUAUUACUUAAAUGCAUCCAUUUAACUGAGAAAGAAUGAAAUUUACACAAUUAUUGAGUUCUUACAUUAAAAUUUUUUUACUUUUGAUUAUUGACUUCUGUCUUGCAGUUUAUUGUUGUUUCACUGAAGGAAGGCAUGUUCAAUAAUGCCAAUGUUCUUUUCCGGACAAAAUUUGUGGAUGGUGUUUCCACUGUCCAGAGAACUGUCACACCUAUUCAGAACAAAUGAUUUCUAUGGUUGUGACUAAGUGAAUGUCUAGUAAUUCGGGAAUUUUGCAGUUACCUCUGCCAUGAUGGUUCUAGACCACCGGUACAUUGUAUGUGCAUGCUAAUUAUGUAAUUAGUUAAAAUUAAUAUCUACUUCUCUUGUAUAUAUACUUAUACAGCUUAUCCUCUCAAAUAUGUUCUUUCUCAAAGUUUUUUCAGUAUGUUUGUUCGCUCUUGUAGCUGGCUCUCUAGCACUUGAGUAUGAUUACUUGGUAUAUGUACUGUGAAUUUUGAA
RNA transcript from Tripterygium wilfordii, 4610 nucleotides. It is a transcript of the gene named structural maintenance of chromosomes protein 2-1-like, with no coding region annotated. Lineage: Eukaryota; Viridiplantae; Streptophyta; Magnoliopsida; Celastrales; Celastraceae. The record is from RefSeq and is a predicted model, not a curated record. The transcript has 21 exons.